AUGCAGGGAGACUUCACCACCACCCAGGAGCAGCAGCAGGUGACGACGAGUGGUUUGCCAGCAGCUCGCGGGAGGGAGGGCGUCUCCAAGUUGGAAGCAGAGGAGGCCGCGUCCGCCGUGGAUCCAGUGGGAAUGAGGCCGCCGCCGCCGUGGAUCCAGGGGUCAGGGAGGCCGCCGCCGCCGCCGCUGCCGUGGAUUCAGGGGGAGGAAGGCGACGUCACUGUGGAUCUAGUGGCAGCGCUGCCGCCGCGGUGGACCCAGGGUGAGGGAGGCCGCCGCCCUGUGGAAGCUGGCGGAUGGAGGCCGGCGGUGUGCUGGAUUGGAGGGAGCCGGGGGACGAAUCGUGGGGAGGAAUGGGAGGGUGCUGGUACUGGCGGCGGCGCGCAGGAUUCCAGUCGGCGGCGUGCGGGUGGUCCCCGGCGACGGGUGGCUCCGGGAUCUUCGAUGGGUAGGUGGGUCGGGGUCUGGGAUCGAGGGAGAGUGGGAGGUGAGGGACGGACGGUAGGUGGGUCGGGGUCGGGGAUCGAGUCCCUGUUCAUGGGCUUUUUGUUUUAG
Molecule: ribosomal RNA, 555 nt
Filed under: Triticum aestivum (bread wheat)
Lineage: Eukaryota; Viridiplantae; Streptophyta; Magnoliopsida; Poales; Poaceae
Description: partial small subunit ribosomal RNA
Source: RNAcentral